This 216-nucleotide unclassified non-coding RNA is filed under the name Hevea brasiliensis (rubber tree). The record is from RNAcentral. Lineage: Eukaryota; Viridiplantae; Streptophyta; Magnoliopsida; Malpighiales; Euphorbiaceae.
GUGUAGAGUUAAUUGUAGAAAGCAAGACGAGUUCUCAAGUAAACAGCAUAUGAUUCACUUAAUCCUACAUGUUUUAUUCCAAACUAUGAGACAAAAGAAAGUAAAAUAUCGAUAUCUAAUGCAUGGAAGGAACAUGCAGAUUUUGGUGGAAGAGGGAGGAGAUGAAAAUAACAUGUGAAGUGAAUAGCUGUGAGGAAAACAACCUGAGAUAGCUGU